RNAcentral lists this non-coding RNA (21 nucleotides) under Arabidopsis thaliana (thale cress). Lineage: Eukaryota; Viridiplantae; Streptophyta; Magnoliopsida; Brassicales; Brassicaceae. The record is from RNAcentral.
ACAUACACAUCAUUAGGUCCA